Molecule: ribosomal RNA, 392 nt
Filed under: uncultured bacterium
Lineage: Bacteria
Description: partial 16S ribosomal RNA
Rfam family: Bacterial small subunit ribosomal RNA
Source: RNAcentral
AUACGGAGGAUGCAAGCGUUAUCCGGAUUUAUUGGGUUUAAAGGGUGCGUAGGCGGUUUGCUAAGCGGGAGGUGAAAUGCCGGCGCUCAACGUCGGAAGUGCCUCCCGAACUGGUGGACUUGAAUGACUCUGCCGUGGGAGGAAUGUGUAGUGUAGCGGUGAAAUGCUUAGAGAUUACACAGAACACCGAUUGCGAAGGCAUCUCACGAAGGGUUGAUUGACGCUGAGGCACGAAAGCGUGGGGAUCAAACAGGAUUAGAUACCCUGGUAGUCCACGCAGUAAACGAUGAUGGCUAACCGCUGGGCUUAUCAGUUCAGUGGCAAGCGAAAGCGAUAAGCCAUCCACCUGGGGAGUACGACCGCAAGGUUGAAACUUAAAGGAAUUGACGGGG